CCCAUCAGCCAUAUCACCCUGCAGCUCUCAGUUAGCUACCCACUGAAGUUAAGCAGGGUUAAGCCUGGUCAGUACCUGGAUGAAAGACCUCCUGGGAAGCUAUGGUUGCUGCUGGAA
This 117-nucleotide ribosomal RNA is filed under the name Lepisosteus oculatus (spotted gar). The record is from RNAcentral. Lineage: Eukaryota; Metazoa; Chordata; Actinopteri; Semionotiformes; Lepisosteidae.